RNAcentral lists this ribosomal RNA (253 nucleotides) under uncultured bacterium. RNAcentral describes it as "partial 16S ribosomal RNA". It matches the Rfam family "Bacterial small subunit ribosomal RNA", at positions 524 to 776 of the family's 1533-position model. The record is from RNAcentral.
UACAGAGGGGGCAAGCGUUGUUCGGAAUUACUGGGCGUAAAGGGCGCGUAGGCGGCCUGUUAAGUCGAACGUGAAAUCCCUGGGCUCAACCCAGGAACUGCGUCCGAUACGGGCAGGCUUGAAUCCGGGAGAGGGAUGUGGAAUUCCAGGUGUAGCGGUGAAAUGCGUAGAUAUCUGGAGGAACACCGGUGGCGAAGGCGGCAUCCUGGACCGGUAUUGACGCUGAGGCGCGAAAGCCAGGGGAGCAAACGGG